GACGAACGCUGGCGGCGUGCUUAACACAUGCAAGUCGAACGGUGAAGCGCCUUCCUUUUUGGUGGGUGUGGAUGAGUGGCGAACGGGUGAGUAACACGUGAGUAACCUGCCCCCUUCUUCUGGAUAACCGCAUGAAAGUGUGGCUAAUACGGGAUAUUCUGGGUCUGUCGCAUGAUGGGUCUGGGAAAGAUAUUGUUUCGGUGGGGGAUGGGCUCGCGGCCUAUCAGCUUGUUGGUGGGGUGAUGGCCUACCAAGGCGGUGACGGGUAGCCGGCCUGAGAGGGUGGACGGUCACACGGGGACUGAGACACGGCCCAGACUCCUACGGGAGGCAGCAGUGGGGAAUAUUGCACAAUGGGCGCAAGCCUGAUGCAGCGACGCCGCGUGAGGGAUGGAGGCCUUCGGGUUGUGAACCUCUUUCGCCAGUGAAGCAGGCCUGCCUCGUUUGUGGGUGGGUUGACGGUAGCUGGAUAAGAAGCGCCGGCUAACUACGU
This 493-nucleotide ribosomal RNA is filed under the name uncultured bacterium. RNAcentral's name for it is "partial 16S ribosomal RNA". It matches the Rfam family "Bacterial small subunit ribosomal RNA", at positions 28 to 506 of the family's 1533-position model. The record is from RNAcentral.